CAUCAUCAACCUUUUCCUGUCUCUGCUCACUAUUUUCAGAGCUGCUGAUAGUUGAAAUCCUUGUAUUCCUUGGUACAUACUAGUUUUCUGUGGGGUGGUGGGUGGUUUUUGAAAACAAUUUCUUAUCUGGGAAUAAAUAUUUCUGUGGCUUCCUGGUUGCCCCUGUUUCUAGACGUUUGUACUGGAUUAUUACUGUUAAUGCUGUUAAUACAUACUGUAGUUGAUUAAGGAAUUUAUUUUGAAUUGUAAAUACUUGAACAUUGUUCCCUUGAUUCACGUGUUCUUUAGUAUGUUGUGAUUUUUAGUUUAUAUCUGAGAAUAUCUUGACUGGUAGAUGCUUGAAAUGAUUUGUUUGGUUCAGCACUCUCCUAGAGUGUUCAAAUUCGAAGCUAUUGUUAAGAAGGCUUGGGCUUUGAUCCUUUCUUUUGAAAUCGGAGGGACAAACUAAUAUUCCCAUUUUGUUUUUGACUAGAUGGAGUAUAAUAUUUUUUCAUUAAUAUUUCCUUUUUUCAUGUAGUUACUCUAAGCGGG
Molecule: long non-coding RNA, 531 nt
Filed under: Trifolium pratense (red clover)
Lineage: Eukaryota; Viridiplantae; Streptophyta; Magnoliopsida; Fabales; Fabaceae
Description: long non-coding RNA (TPRA_LNC006246)
Source: RNAcentral